This is a non-coding RNA of Leptonychotes weddellii (Weddell seal), 693 nucleotides long. Lineage: Eukaryota; Metazoa; Chordata; Mammalia; Carnivora; Phocidae. The record is from RefSeq and is a predicted model, not a curated record.
GCACUGGAGUAGGCUUUCGAGGGGUGGGGUGGGGGGUGGGAGUGGUCCUGCAGAGGCCAGCAACAGCCAGAUAAUUUAAAAGCAACGCCCCAGGAGAUGGGGUAACAUUACCUCCGGGGUUCGUUUUAGCUCAAAUCUCAAUGGCUCCUUGUAGAGCACACGCACAAAAAAAGCACAAGAAAAUGGGGAGGGGGAAGGUCAUCGCCUCCUGACAAGCAAGGGAGACAAACACUGCGGCAAGAAGAAAAUAGAGACCGAGUUGCAGGGAGACAGCAGAGAAGAAUCCGAGAGUGCGGGUUCGGGGCGGAGAGGACCGGCUCGGAGGGGGCAGCGGCAGUUCCCCAAGGGAAGGAGCUUCUCAGGGCUGUGGAAACACACUCGAUACCGUGUGAGACAGGGCGUUCUUAACUCUGACGGCUGUCAGUCCGAGUGCCCCGCCUCUCCGCGCGUUCCUGUCCAGACCCUCACCCAGGGACUGACUUUCCUUCCUAGGCCCAGAGCCAGUCCUCAAAGAGCAUAUCUUGAGCCUGUUGGCCUUCAGACUGGAAUUCCACCAUCAGCUCUCCUGUCUGCAGCUGGCUGAUUGCAGAGUCUGAGACUCGCUGGCCUCCCAGAUCCCCUGAGCCAACUCUCUGUAAUAAAUCAAUGUCCUCUAUCCCUAUCUGUACAGAUACACCUAUCUGUAGCCCCUCA